UUUGGAAAAUUAUUUUAUAAAAUAUUGCUAAAAAGGCAUAUAUUUUUUGAAAAAAUAAUUUUGACAAAUCAAUCUUACAUUUUUCAUCGCCAAGCAGUCUCUCAUUUUCCUUCCAUCCAAACAGCGGAUCUUCUUUACAAAAGAAAGAAAAAAAGGACAAAACCCUAGACGUUGAAGCACAUUGCUUUCAGUUGCGGUAGUCCACACUCCAUAGAUCACACAGGACCAGAAUACAUUCUUCAUACCAAAAUCCAAGCCCCAGAUUUUCAUCAGCAACGGGAGCCAAAUCUCCAUCGAACUUCCCACAGUGACACGGUUGCUCUAGGGCUUCAAAACGAGGCGUGGGCAAUGUUGUAAAUUUUGUGGGUUUUAGGUUUCAUCUAUAAAGAGGAUGGAUAGUAAUUAUGAUCUCUUGGAGGAGCUCUUCAACGUCGAAUUGGAGCUUCAAGACGUCCAAGACCAGAUUAAGAAUUUGCUUGAUCGGCAAGAGAAGUUGCAUGAGAGACAAUCUGAACUGAAAACCCUGUUGGAAGCAUGUAAAGGAUCAGGAAGCCCUGUAAAGGAUGGCGCUUCUGUUGCAGUAGAGAACUGGUCAGGGCCAUUUGACUGGGAUGCUCAAGCAGAUGAUGUUAGGUUCAAUAUUUUUGGCAUAUCCACAUAUCGUGCAAACCAGCGUGAGAUUAUAAAUGCAGUCAUGAGUGGAAGGGAUGUUCUGGUGAUCAUGGCUGCAGGUGGUGGUAAGAGCCUUUGUUACCAGCUUCCAGCUAUACUUCGUGAUGGAGUUGCUCUUGUUGUCAGUCCUUUGCUUUCUCUGAUUCAGGACCAGGUGAUGGGAUUGGCUGCUUUAGGAAUCCCAGCAUACAUGUUGACAUCUACUACUAGCAAGGAAGAUGAGAAGUUCAUAUACAAGGCACUGGAGAAAGGCGAUGGAGACCUUAAAAUACUGUAUGUCACACCUGAAAAGAUAUCAAAGAGCAAGAGAUUCGUGUCAAAACUUGAAAAGUGUCAUCAUUCUGGUUGUCUCUCCCUCAUUUCAAUUGAUGAGGCACAUUGCUGUAGUCAGUGGGGCCAUGACUUUCGCCCAGAUUACAAAAAUCUUGGCAUCUUAAAGACUCAGUUUCCUGAUGUUCCAGUAGUUGCUUUGACUGCCACAGCAACGAAGAAGGUCCAAAAUGAUCUUAUGGAAAUGCUGCAUAUCCCGAAAUGCAUUAAAUUUGUCAGCACAGUGAAUCGGCCAAAUCUUUUUUACAUGGUACGCGAAAAGUCAUCUGUUGGAAGGGUGGUUAUUGAUGAAAUUGCUGAAUAUAUUCAAGAAUCAUAUCCAAAUAAUGAAUCUGGAAUUGUUUAUUGCUUCUCUAGGAAGGAAUGUGAACAGGUCGCAAAGGAAUUACGUGAAAGAGGAAUUUCAGCUGAUUAUUAUCACGCAGAUAUGGAUGUGAAUGCUCGUGAGAGAGUUCAUCUUCGGUGGAGCAAUAGCAAGUUGCAGGUCAUUGUUGGUACGGUGGCCUUUGGUAUGGGAAUUAACAAGCCUGAUGUCAGGUUUGUCAUCCAUCACAGCCUAAGUAAAUCAAUGGAGACAUACUACCAGGAAAGUGGUCGAGCUGGAAGAGAUGGACUCCCUUCUGAAUGCCUGCUCUAUUUUAGGCCUGGGGAUGUACCUAGGCAGAGUUCAAUGGUCUUCUAUGAGAAUUCUGGAUUGCAAAAUCUCUAUGACAUAGUACAAUAUUGUCAGUCUAAAAGGGAAUGUCGUCGAAAUGCUUUUUUUCGACAUUUUGCUGAGCCAUUGCAAGACUGCAACGGGAUGUGUGAUAACUGUGCAUUUUCAACUGAGGUCAAGGAAGUUGAUGUUUCCUGUCUUGCAAAAGCUAUGAUUUCUUUGCUGCAAGAUAUGCAAGACAACGAUCAGAGAUUAACAAUGUUGCAAAUGGUGGACAAGAUGAAGGUUAAGAAUAAGGACCUAGGUUCUGACCUAAGGAAAGAGGAAAUAGAGCACCUUGUGAUUCAGCUUAUACGGGAUCGCGUUUUGAAAGAAGAAUUUCAGCAUACAGCUUAUGCUACAAAUGCUUACGUGACAUUGGGACUAUUGUGGAAGCAAGUAUCGCAUGGAAAAAGGAUUGUUAAGCUUGAGAUUUCUACCAAAGUGAAGACUAAGACUGGUAACAUGAAAUCAUCCAAACGCAGCCUGACAUCUUCGGGUUUGGAGUUGAAGCUUGAUGAGCUACGAAAGGAACUCUCUUCCACUCAUGGAGGAAUAUUCCCUCAUUCUGUGUUGUCUACACAACAGAUUAGCAUCCUCAGUGCCCAGAAACCAACUUCAAUUCUAGAGUUAGAGACAAUGAUUGGAAAGCUGAAGACAGAGAAGUAUGGGAGUAAGAUUCUUGAAGAGAUUGCGAAGUACACCGAGACAGAGCAGCCCGAAAAUGUUCCUCCUGAUGACAGUACGUUAGGUGAAGGGCAAGGCAGUGAAAAGAAACCUACUAAGAGAUUGAAGACUGAUGAAGCGCAAGGCAGUGAAAAGAAACCUACAAAGAGGUUGAAGACUGAUGAAGGGCAAGGCAGUGAAAACAGGGCUCCCAAAAGGCUGAAGUCCAAUAAGGCAGUGGUUCUGAUUGAGAGCAGUGGAGAUGAAACAUGACAGAAUUUGAAACAAACCGAUGACAGUGAUAUAGGACGCCCUUCUAUAAAUCUGCUGAACUCCCAGAAAAUGAGAAAGCACAGCCUUUGGAAAUCUAAUGGCAGGAAACGACAAGACAGCAGAGGGUUUAUUUAUUCAGUUAUGAUCAAGACAUCACCUAUGGAGGACUGUUAAUGAUAUGUGGAAGGAGAGAGUAUGCAAUUAAUCUCUCAUUUUGAGACCCGAAACAACGAUUACUGUUAAUACUUUUUAGUUAGUUUUACUUAAUUAAUUUAAUUAUAUAAUUUUAAUUAUUAUAUGUUUACAAUAUAAAAAAUAAAUUAGAAUUUUAGUUUUA
Molecule: RNA transcript, 2972 nt
Organism: Vitis vinifera (wine grape)
Lineage: Eukaryota; Viridiplantae; Streptophyta; Magnoliopsida; Vitales; Vitaceae
Gene name: ATP-dependent DNA helicase Q-like 2
Exons: 21
Source: RefSeq, a predicted model, not a curated record